Molecule: ribosomal RNA, 1449 nt
Filed under: Triticum aestivum (bread wheat)
Lineage: Eukaryota; Viridiplantae; Streptophyta; Magnoliopsida; Poales; Poaceae
Description: partial small subunit ribosomal RNA
Source: RNAcentral
AUGAAUCUUUUUGGCAUCAAAGAUGCUCAGAUAACAUAUGCUGGGAUCGUGUCCAGUUCACCCAUCCUUGUGGUGCUACCUGUGCGCCAUAUGCCGGAGUUUGGUGCAACAUAUAUUCUACCCACAUCCAUCAGUUUCGUAUUCGGCCAGUGGCUCAAAUACCGUAGGUUCACCAGAUACAGACAAAUUGAGUGGAUAACAUCCGCCGGGAUCGUGUCUAGAUCACCCAUCCUUGUGGUGCUACUAGUGCGCCAUAUGCCGGUUAUGAAUUUUAGAAUGAUAACAUCCGUCGAGGUCGUGUCUAGAUCACCCGUCCUUGUGGUGCUACCUCUGCGCCAGAUGCCGAUUAUGAAUUUUAAAAUGAUAACAUCCGCUGGGAUCGUGUCUAGAUCACCCAUCCUUGUGGCGCUACCUGAGUUUGGUGCACCAUACAUUCUACCCACAUCCUUCAGUUUCGUAUCCGGCGAGUGGCUCAAACAGCGCAGGUUCACCGGAUACAGACAAAUUGAGUGGAUAACAUUCGCUAGGAUCGUGUCCAGUUCACCCAUCCUUGUGGUGCUACCUGUGCGCCAUAUGCCGAUAACAUCCGCCGGGAUCGUGUCUAGAUCACCCAUCCUUGUGGUGCUACCUGUGUGCCAUAUGUCGGUUAUGAAUUUUAGAAUGAUAACAUCCGCCGGGAUCGUGUCUAGAUCACCCAUCCUUGUGGUUCUACCUGUGCGCCAUAUGCCGAUAACAUCCGUCGGGGUCGUGUCUAGAUCACCCAUCCUUGUGGUGCUACCUGUGCGCCAUAUGCCGAUAACAUCCACCGGCAACGUGUCCAGUUCAUCCAUCCUUGUGGUGCUACCUGUGCGCCAGAUGUCGAUAACAUCCGCCGGCAACGUGUCUAGUUCAUCCAUCCUUGUGGUGCUACCUGUGCGCCAGAUGCCGAUAUCAUCCGCCGGCAACGUGUCUAGUUCAUCCAUCCUUGUGGUGCUACCUGUGGGUCUGAUUCUUACUGAUGGGCUAGGCCUGCUCGUGAGGCUACUGUAUUAUUACUGGCGCAGCCCCCUUCCGCGUUACGAACCCCCCCGGGGAUACCUUUCGUCGCAAAUCCAGCAGAAGAAAGAGGAGCUGUACGAUCUCAUUGCCCUCGCCAAAGCCAAUUCUGCGGCUUCCCGGGUGGACAAACUUCUGUUCAGGUCUCUCUGUAACCAAGUCGAGCCGAGACCACAUGACCCUCAAUGGCGCCACAUAAAAAGGGUUGAUAAGAUCUGCAGUUGGAUUAUGCCGACAUUUGUUUUUGUUAAUAUUGGGGCCACUCUCUGUGCCAUUGCUGGCCGUGCUGGAACAGACGGAAAUCUUUAUACCACUGAGGGUGUGCGCAGGCCAGUCGAGCUCAGCAGCCUGCGUGACGGUGUGCGCAGGCCAGUCGUGCUCCGGCGUGAGGGUGUGCAGAAGCCAAAGGACUAA